AUUGAACGCUGGCGGCAGGCCUAACACAUGCAAGUCGAACGGUAACAGGAAGAAGCUUGCUUCUUUGCUGACGAGUGGCGGACGGGUGAGUAAUGUCUGGGAAACUGCCUGAUGGAGGGGGAUAACUACUGGAAACGGUAGCUAAUACCGCAUAACGUCGCAAGACCAAAAAGGGGGACCUUCGGGCCUCUUGCCAUCGGCUGUGCCCAGAUGGGAUUAGCUAGUAGGUGGGGUAUCGGCUCACCUAGGCGACGAUCCCUAGCUGGUCUGAGAGGAUGACCAGCCACACUGGAACUGAGACACGGUCCAGAUCCCUACGGGAGGCAGCAGUGGGAAUAUUGCACAAUGGGCGCAAGCCUGAUGCAGCCAUGCCGCGUGUAUGAAGAAGGCCUUCGGGUUGUAAAGUACUUUCAGCGGGGAGGAAGGGAGUAAAGUUAAUACCUUCGCUCAUUGACGUUACCCGCAGAAGAAGCACCGGCUAACUCCGUG
Molecule: ribosomal RNA, 489 nt
Filed under: uncultured bacterium
Lineage: Bacteria
Description: partial 16S ribosomal RNA
Rfam family: Bacterial small subunit ribosomal RNA
Source: RNAcentral